CACCGCCACGGGAAUACAGAGGGUGCGAGCGUUAAUCGGAUUUACUGGGCGUAAAGCGUGCGUAGGCGGCUAAUUGAGUCGGAUGUGAAAUCCCCGAGCUUAACUUGGGAAUUGCAUUCGAUACUGGUUAGCUAGAGUGUGGGAGAGGAUGGUAGAAUUCCAGGUGUAGCGGUGAAAUGCGUAGAGAUCUGGAGGAAUACCGAUGGCGAAGGCAGCCAUCUGGCCUAACACUGACGCUGAGGUACGAAAGCAUGGGGAGCAAACAGGAUUAGAUACCCCUGUAGUCCCUGUCUCUUAUACA
RNAcentral lists this ribosomal RNA (301 nucleotides) under uncultured bacterium. RNAcentral describes it as "partial 16S ribosomal RNA". It matches the Rfam family "Bacterial small subunit ribosomal RNA", at positions 509 to 808 of the family's 1533-position model. The record is from RNAcentral.